This 460-nucleotide ribosomal RNA is filed under the name uncultured bacterium. RNAcentral describes it as "partial 16S ribosomal RNA". It matches the Rfam family "Bacterial small subunit ribosomal RNA", at positions 338 to 795 of the family's 1533-position model. The record is from RNAcentral.
CCUACGGGGGACAGCAGUGAGGAAUAUUGGUCAAUGGGCGAGAGCCUGAACCAGCCAAGUCGCGUGAAGGAUGACGGCCCUACGGGUUGUCAACUUCUUUUGUCAGGGAGCAAUUGGGUCCACGCGUGGGCUUAGCGAGAGUACCUGCAGAAAAAGCAUCGGCUAACUCCGUGUCAGCAGACGCGGUAAUACGGAGGAUGCGAGCGUUAUCCGGAUUUAUUGGGUUUAAAGGGUGCGUAGGCGGAAUAUCAAGUCAGCGGUAAAAAUUCGGGGCUCAACCCCGUCGUGCCGUUGAAACUGAUGUUCUUGAGUGGGCGAGAAGUAUGCGGAAUGCGUGGUGUAGCGGUGAAAUGCAUAGAUAUCACGCAGAACUCCGAUUGCGAAGGCAGCAUACCGGCGCCCAACUGACGCUGAAGCACGAAAGCGUGGGUAUCGAACAGGAUUAGAUACCCUGGUAGUC